This 484-nucleotide ribosomal RNA is filed under the name uncultured bacterium. RNAcentral's name for it is "partial 16S ribosomal RNA". It matches the Rfam family "Bacterial small subunit ribosomal RNA", at positions 30 to 507 of the family's 1533-position model. The record is from RNAcentral.
AUUGAACGCUGGCGGAAGGCCUAACACAUGCAAGUCGAGCGGCAGCACGGAGCUAACUCUGGUAUCCAGCGGCGGACGGGUGAGUAAUACAUAGGAACCUGCCCGGUAGUGGGGGAUAACGUCGCGAAAGGGGCGCUAAUACCGCAUACGUUCUGAGGAAGAAAGCGGGGGAUCUUCGGACCUCACGCGAUCGGAGGAGCCGAUGUCGGAUUAGCUAGUUGGUGGGGUAAAGGCCUACCAAGCCGACGAUCCGUAACUGGUCUGAGAGGACGAUCAGCCACACUGGAACUGAGACACGGUCCAGACUCCUACGGGAGGCAGCAGUGGGGAAUAUUGGACAAUGGGCGCAAGCCUGAUCCAGCCAUGCCGCGUGUGUGAAGAAGGUCUUCGGGUUGUAAAGUGCUUUUGGUUGGAACGAAAAGCAGCAGGCUAAUACCUUGCUGUCAUGACGGUACCAAAAGAAUAAGCACCGGCUAACUUCGUG